Molecule: ribosomal RNA, 227 nt
Filed under: uncultured bacterium
Lineage: Bacteria
Description: partial 16S ribosomal RNA
Rfam family: Bacterial small subunit ribosomal RNA
Source: RNAcentral
GAUGAACGCUAGCGGCAGGCUUAAUACAUGCAAGUCGAACGGUAAUCCCGACAGCAAUGUCGGGACAAGAGUGACGUACGGGUGCGUAACACGUAUGCAACCUACCUUGUACAGGAGGAUAGCUCGGGGAAACCCGGAUUAACCCUCCAUGAGAUCCCGAAACGGCAUCGUUUCGGGAUUAAAACUCCGGUGGUACAAGAUGGGCAUGCGUCUGAUUAGUUAGUUGG